Molecule: unclassified non-coding RNA, 391 nt
Filed under: soil metagenome
Description: partial contains 5.8S ribosomal RNA, internal transcribed spacer 2, and large subunit ribosomal RNA
Rfam family: 5.8S ribosomal RNA (bases 1-122)
Source: RNAcentral
GAUGAAGAACGUAUCGAAAUGCGAUACUUGGUGUGAAUUGCAGAAUCCCGUGAACCAUCGAGUCUUUGAACGCAAGUUGCGCCCGAAGCCAUUAGGCCGAGGGCACGCCUGCCUGGGCGUCACACGUCGUUGCCCCCCCAUCUACUCCUUCGGGAUUGCGGGGGGCGGAUGAUGGCCUCCCGUGCGCCUCGUCGCGCGGUUGGCAUAAAUGCCAAGUCCUCGGCGACGCACGCCACGACAAUCGGUGGUUGCGAAACCUCGGUUGCCCGUCGUGUGCGGUCGUCGCGCAUCGAGGGCUCGAAAAAAUUGCCGGGCUCCGGCUCGGCUUUCAACGCGACCCCAGGUCAGGCGGGGUUACCCGCUGAAUUUAAGCAUAUCAAUAAGCGGAGGA